GAUUAAAGGUAUUCCGGUAGACGAUGGCGAUGCGUUCCAUUAGAUAGUAGGCGGGGUAACGGCCCACCUAGUCUUCGAUGGAUAGGGGUUCUGAGAGGAAGGUCCCCCACAUUGGAACUGAGACACGGUCCAAACUCCUACGGGAGGCAGCAGUGAGGAAUAUUGGUCAAUGGGCGCAGGCCUGAACCAGCCAAGUAGCGUGAAGGAUGACUGCCCUAUGGGUUGUAAACUUCUUUUAUAAAGGAAUAAAGUCGGGUAUGUAUACCCGUUUGCAUGUACUUUAUGAAUAAGGAUCGGCUAACUCCGUGCCAGCAGCCGCGGUAAUACGGAGGAUCCGAGCGUUAUCCGGAUUUAUUGGGUUUAAAGGGAGCGUAGAUGGAUGUUUAAGUCAGUUGUGAAAGUUUGCGGCUCAACCGUAAAAUUGCAGUUGAUACUGGAUAUCUUGAGUGCAGUUGAGGCAGGCGGAAUUCGUGGUGUAGCGGUGAAAUGCUUAGAUAUCACGAAGAACUCCGAUUGCGAAGGCAGCCUGCUAAGCUGCAACUGACAUUGAGGCUCGAAAGUGUGGGUAUCAAACAGGAUUAGACACCCUGGUAGUCCACACGGUAAACGAUGAAUACUCGCUGUUUGCGAUAUACAGCAAGCGGCCAAGCGAAAGCGUUAAGUAUUCCACCUGGGGAGUACGCCGGCAACGGUGAAACUCAAAGGAAUUGACGGGGGCCCGCACAAGCGGAGGAACAUGUGGUUUAAUUCGAUGAUACGCGAGGAACCUUACCCGGGCUUAAAUUGCAGAUGAAUUACGGUGAAAGCCGUAAGCCGCAAGGCAUCUGUGAAGGUGCUGCAUGGUUGUCGUCAGCUCGUGCCGUGAGGUGUCGGCUUAAGUGCCAUAACGAGCGCAACCCUUGUUGUCAGUUACUAACAGGUUCCGCUGAGGACUCUGACAAGACUGCCAUCGUAAGAUGUGAGGAAGGUGGGGAUGACGUCAAAUCAGCACGGCCCUUACGUCCGGGGCUACACACGUGUUACAAUGGGGGGUACAGAGGGCCGCUACCACGCGAGUGGAUGCCAAUCCCAAAAACCUCUCUCAGUUCGGACUGGAGUCUGCAACCCGACUCCACGAAGCUGGAUUCGCUAGUAAUCGCGCAUCAGCCACGGCGCGGUGAAUACGUUCCCGGGCCUUGUACACACCGCCCGUCAAGCCAUGGGAGCCGGGGGUACCUGAAGUGCGUAACCGCGAGGAGCGCCCUAGGGUAAAACUGGUGACUGGGGCUAAGUCGUAACAAGGUA
This 1284-nucleotide ribosomal RNA is filed under the name metagenome. RNAcentral describes it as "bacterial SSU rRNA". It matches the Rfam family "Bacterial small subunit ribosomal RNA", at positions 199 to 1498 of the family's 1533-position model. The record is from RNAcentral.